AUUAAUUAGAAAGUAUAAUUAUAAAAUUUAGUUCUACUUUUAUUAGGAUUACCCACUGAACUGAAGCAUCUCAUUAAGUGGAGGAUAAGAAACUAACUAGGAUUCUCUUAGUAAAGGCGAUCGAAGAGAGAAAAGCUCAAUUCCAAAGUUUAAAUUUAAUUUAAACAAUGUGGAUAAAGGACUUAGAUAUAAUUAAAAAUCAUUUUGAAAGAAUGAACAAUAAAGAGUUAAAGUCUCGUUAAACGAUUAUAUCUAUAUAAUCCUUAAAGUGAGUAAGAUAGCUUGAGAUUGCUAUCCGAAUAGGGUGGUUUGACCCAUCCAAAGCUAAAUAAUAUGAGUAGACCGAUAGCGUACAAGUAGUGUGAACGAAGGAUGAAAAUUACUCCAAAAAGGAGGCUGAAAUAGUUCUGAACUUGUCUAGGGUUAUAGGUAAUUAUAUUACACCCGUCUUGAAACACGGAUUAGGGAGUUUAACUUAUAUACAAGUCUUAAAUGAAGGCGAAAGGAAACUAACCCUUAAAGGGGAGUUAGAGUAUAUAUGUUAGAACCCGAAUGAUGGUGAACUAUGCCUGCACAGAAUGAAGUCAGGGGAAACUCUGAUGGAAGUUUCGUCGCGAUACUGAUGUGCAAAUCGUUCGUUAGAUGUAGGUAUAGGUGCGAAAGACUCAUCGAACCAUCUAAUAGCUGGUUUCCUUCGAAGUUUCCCUAAGGAUAGCCGUAACAUUAAAUUAGUUAAGGCAGUAGAGCAAUGGGUAGAGGUGUAGGCUUACUACGGUGAGUCAACUUAUUUCCAAACUCCGAACGUCCUUGUUUAUUUAAUAAUUAUCUAAACGAAAUUAUUAAAAAGAAUAAAUGUUAUGAGUGGGCUCUGACCGGUAAGCGGUCAUGGCGAAAUGGGAUGAACCAAAUGUUAAGAUAAGGUGCCUAAUUCUUCAACCAUUGAAACCAUUAAAGGAGUCUUUGUAUUAAGACAGCAGGUCGGUGCCCCUAAAAGUAGGUAUCCGCUAAUGAGUUGUGUUAUAAACUCCCCUGCCAAAUACUAAGGCCCUGAAAAUGAAUGGCGCAUAUUGAAGAACCGAUACUUAACACUUGCUAAGUUUAUAGCAAGGAGUAGGAGGACGUGAUUAUAUCAUCGAAGUGUAAUUGUGAAAUUAUAUUGAGAUAUAAUUAUUGCACAUCCUAAUUGAAGUAGCGUUUAUCCAGGUAUAAAUCCUGGGGGCUGAUGAGGAGUAGGGUUUCUGGGCAACUUAAAUAGUCCCAGAGUUAGUCGAACCUAAUGAUUUAAUAAUUAAUCAGAAAGGGUAUAUAGUUGAUAUUCUAUAACUAUAAUUAAUUAUAAAUGGUGACAUUUUAGAUAAUUUUCUUCUUCUAUUAUAUACUGUUAUUAGGGUUAUCUUUCCUAAAUGACAUCUAAUUAUAUCUUUUAAAACUUGUCAAAAGGGGAAAAAUGAUGUAUAGAUGGCAAAAUAAUUCUUCGGAAUUAUUAUACAGAUAUAUAAUGGAACCAUGAAAAGAAAAUUAUUAAUAUAAUUAAUAUAUUCGUACCCAUAACCGCAUCAGGUCUCCAAGGUGAGUAGCCUAUGGCCAUUGAGCUAUGGUAGUUCAGGGAAUUCGGCCAAUUAGAGCUGUAACUUCGGGAGAAAGCUUGGCUCUGAUAGAAAUCAGAACCGAUAGUUACAAGGGGAGCCCAACUGUUUAAUAAAAACGCAGCGUUGUGCCACUCUGUCUAAAUUGAUUUGAACACAACGUGAAUCCUGCUCAGUGCUGUGCCUGUUAACAUCAAUCAAACGAACGAAGCACCGGUAAAUAGCUGGGGUAACUAUGACUCUUAUCAAAGUAGCGAAAUACCUCGUCACUUAAUUAGUGACCUGCAUGAACGGAGCUAUGAGGUUCUCACUGUCCCAAACUAUCACUCAGCGAACCAACAGAAGUGGGAACGGGCACUUAAUAUCCAGCGGGGGAAGAAGACCCUGUAGAGCUUCACUUUGGUCUGGUUUUGUAUAGCUUCGUUUAUGGUGCAGACUAGGUGGGAGAGUAAUCAAAUAUGAGAAACCACUACAUAAUCUGGAGUUAUGCUAAUUCUAUGAAAACAUGACCAGAUAGAAAGUUUGGCUGGGGCGGCACACCUUCGAAAGAGCAGCGAAGGUGGUCUACGUUGAGCUCAGUGAGGACAGAAAUCUCACGUUGAGGAUUAAGGCCAAAAGCUCAAUUUACUGCGCCUUUUUGUACUAGGAUCAGUUUGGAAACAAUGGCCUAACGAUCCCUAAUUAGUAUCAGGUCUUGAUACUUGGGGUGACAGACAAGUUACCUCCGGGACAACUGGCUUGUGGCUGCUAAGAGAUCAAAUCAACGCAGCUUUUUGAUUCUUCGAUGUCGGCUCUUCCUAUCCUAGUGAGGCACAACUCACUAAGGGUUGGAUUGUUCACCCGUAUUAGGGAUCGUGAGCUGGGUUUAGACCGUCGUGAGCCAGGUUUGUUUUAUCCUACUGGAUAUGCCAUCAUGAUAGUAGUUUGAUUCAGUACGAGAGGAACAGUUGAAUAUGGCCUCUGGUUAGCAAUUUCUUGACAAGGAAAGUUGCGUAGCUACGCCGUCUGAGAUAAUGGCUGAAGGCCUCUUAAGCCAGAACCUCAUCUAGAAAGUGAUGGAUAUCAUCCUUAUAAGCCUUAAAUAUUAACUUUAUAGCAAAAUUAAGGUUAGGAUGAAUAUAACCCAAUGUAGAAGACGUUGAAUCAACAAGGGUCCUGUAAGGAGCGGAGUGGCAUUACGUCCACGACUUUCUGAGGGUCAGCCUUGUUUGCUAGGUUAUGCUAUUAGCAUAU
This 2819-nucleotide ribosomal RNA is filed under the name gut metagenome. RNAcentral describes it as "eukaryotic LSU rRNA". It matches the Rfam family "Eukaryotic large subunit ribosomal RNA". The record is from RNAcentral.